Long non-coding RNA from Zea mays, 479 nucleotides. RefSeq lists it as uncharacterized. The record is from RefSeq and is a predicted model, not a curated record. The transcript is spliced from 3 exons. NCBI's taxonomy places the organism in Eukaryota, Viridiplantae, Streptophyta, Magnoliopsida, Poales, Poaceae.
UUUAUUUUCUUGAAGACAUCAACACCUUCUAACUGCUCCAAUGCCAUCAUGCUUCUGAUCCCAGCUGGAGUGCAUCAACUUUCAUGAGAUAAUGAUCCAGUGGACGUGCCAAUGACAAGGUCAUAGAAGAAGCUAUGCUUGAGGAAGCUAUGAGUGACUGAAGGAUUUCAUUUUCCAUACUAUCAUGUUUCAACUUUCAUUGGCCAGUCAUCAAAGAAGUACGAUGUGUUUGGAUUUGGGGUUCUGUUAGUCAAGUUGAUCACUGGUCAUAAGGCGUUGGAUUUUGGAAGAGUAGCAAAUCAGAAAGGUGGAAUGCUCGACUAGGUUAAGAAACUUCAUAAAGAAAAGCAGCUACCUUUCUUUGGUGGACAAAGGCCUGGGUAGCAACUAGGACAGGGUUGAGUCAGUACCACUUGUCUCACUGCCCUAAAAUGUUCGAGGUGAUCAGGUGGAAGGAGACGGGCUCACACAGAGAUGGG